GGAAGGAGCAGCUGAAUAUAAAUGAAGCACCCAGGCAGCACAAACACUAACUGCAAGAGUGUUAUUCCAGCUAACACGGCAGACAGGAAUACACUGGUCAGUGUGUAUGCUUUCAAUCAAGAGACGGAAGUGUAAGACGAGCCAGAAGACGAGAAAGUUCCCACCACAAUGAGAGAGCCGAACACAUCUACAGACAAACGACUGGAGGCAAAGCACACGCACAGUGAACUAACACUUUCCUGGAUUCCAAGACCUCCAGAGAACCAGAUGGAUGAGAGGAACUGGGAAAAAGAACCCACACUGUUUGAAAAAGAAACUGGACUGUAGUUCAACACAUAGCUGCCUGCAAUAAUAACAUGAACUUCCUGCUGCUUUGCACCAAGGGGACUUGAGUAAGGGUAGAAUGAAGCACCCUUAGAAGUGAGGAGCAGGGUGUCAGCACAGCAGGAGUCCAGAACCUGCCCACAGUGCCCAGGGGCAUCUCCUUCCUCACCUCCACACCAACAGGGAAAUGAAGACGUCUAUUUUGUUUUCUACUCCUCCAGAUGAACCUGGUCUUCACAAAUGCAUGUACUUCAUGGUUUGAUUCCGGUUACUUAUUCCCCCUGUCUUCCUUUAGUUUCUAAUGUUCAUUACAAAGUCUGGAUGCAAAGAACCUCAGCAAUGUUUCAAAUCUUCCCUGAUUGACGGACAGCAUCAAGAAGAAAGGACAUACAGGAUCACACCUCUUUCCCGCUCAGGAGCCGCACUCGGUCUCCCUAUGGAGAAGCAGCGUUGGCACUGCUUGACACUCACCCAUUCUCUUUGGUUCAGUGUGCUCCCUAGAUUCCAGCCAAAGACUCUCCGCAGCUCUCUGGACUUGUCUUACGUGUUGCCCUCCUUAGUUGCUCCCUUAAUGGUAUUCUUCGCACUUAUAUCUGACGGGACAUUUUCAUACUCCAAUUAUGUGUGUCCUCUCCGCUGAGGAAUUUAGGAACAAGAAACCAUUUCUCCUCUUAAAUACUAUUUUAUUUUACUUCGAAUGGGGGGAGGUUGCGAGGGCAGAGGGUGGAUAUGAAAGGACGGGGAAAUGAAUAGGAUAGAGAUACAUAAUGUGAGAGAAACAAAGCAUAAAUAGAAAGGGUUUUAAUAGAAAGGGUUUUUUUUUAAAAAAAAGCAUGUUUUGCACAUAGAACUAUGCCCUUGUAACCUGUUUCACUGUAUUCUUGCUUUUGCCAGUGUUUAUCUCCACUGUCGUUUGAUCUUCUGGGGAUGGGGCCAUCACUUAAAUUAUCUUUUCAUUUCCAUAGCUAGCAAAGUGUCUGUCAUAAGCAGCAGGUAUGCAGUAAGCGACCUUUGACUCAUGAGGGAGUAAGUACAACACAAAGCGUUGAUUUUGUUGAGGUUAAUGGUGUGAAUCUUCAUCUCAUUUAGGAGACACUAAACCUCACGGGCAAAUGCAGCUUCAAAGGAAACAGGGACAUCUCGGUCAAUUGCUUGUCAUCAUCAGGCGUACAUGGCACGCACACAGAGAAGAAUCACCGAAGAACCUGUGAGGUGUCUUAAGAGAUGCUUGUCACUCAGUCAGGUCCAGACAAGGAGAACGAAUCACAGACACUCUAGAGAACUUGAAGAUAGGAUUAUUCUAAAUUUCUAGGUAAAUAUGUCUCUUAGAGGUGAAAAUGUGUUUUCUUGGGUAAUUUCUUUCAUAAUUCAGUACUGCAACUGUAAUUCAUACUUCUUCAAGUUCAAUGGAUUUUUAACUUCUCUCAAGCAUUUCCUAUUACCCCAAAACUCCCUUCUAGCUCUAGGAUUCCCAGGUCCUGGAUGCAUGCUCUCACUGUAGCAUCUCGACUCCACACACAGAGGAUGCUUUGGCAAUGUGGCUCAGUGGGCAUUCUCUCAAGCAGCAUUCUGAUUAUGCUGUUAUGAACUAUUUACUGCAAAAUGCUUUGGGUGAAGCCUUUAAAACACGGCUUUCUGGAUAGAAUCACUACUUGAAACUGUAUAAGACCAUAGUAGAGUGCGAGCCCUGGACAUCUGAGAAUGAAGUGCACACUUAUUUUAUAAGUGCCACAGUUAGUGCUGGAAGCUCUUCGUGACAGUAAAUAUUAAAGGACAUGGAUCUGAUGCUAUACAAAGUAGCACAAGUUGCAGCUCCCCAUUGAUUAUAUCAUCAACUCAGCAGUUUUUAAUCUUGCAUAUCACCAAUUUACAUGUAUUAUCUAACAAAUAGUAGAAGCUAAAAGCCUUAAUCAUCCUCAUUUUUAAGUCUGUGUUCUUUCUACUCCUGUGCAAAGAAAAUGUUAAAACAUAAAGUUCUCAAAAUUGAUGCAAAGUCUAUCUUUAAAACAAACAGGCAAAUAAAUAGCAUGGAAAACAUGUCCUCUGUGUUAAGAGUGUGUGACAGAGGCCUUUUAUUCUGUGAGAAGAGAUAUCAAAUACACCAAGUCUUAAAGUAGAAUGGACAUUGUCAAAUGACUUUUAGCCAACGCUAGUUGAAAUGCAAGGUAGGCCAGGCCAGAACAUUUCAGGACUUGGUAUAGAUUAUACGAUUCUAUAACAAACUAGAGGGAAAGCAAAGGAACUGAAGGCUUAAGUAGUGCCUGAGGCAGCAGCUCAAUGAGGAAGAAUAGACUCAUCACGUAAUUCUGAAGUAGGGCUACAAGUAAGUAAAGCAUAUUGACCACCAUUGGCUUCGUAAGUUCAUAGCAUCCUGAGAACUUGAAAAGAUAAAAAUUUAGGAACUGCCACUUUUUAAGUCUUCCUUGCCAUAUGCUCUUCAGACAUUUCUAGACUCCGAAUGUGGGGGAAAAAACCCUGCAGUGUGGGAAAGGAAAAGGAACCAAAGGCAUCAUAUUCAGUAAGAUGAUACUUGGGAUUCUUCGCCACAGAGAUAACAGAAGAUGGACUGUGGUAGCAACUGUGAAGGAUGUGGUGUUCCUAACCCAGGAGGGAAAUGUAGAGGACACCUGGAUCCCAGAGGGUAAAGACCUAAGGGAACACUCCAGUCCAGCCGGGUGAGUGUAUGAACACAGCAGCAGAGCUGGGGACAGGUAGUCUGUUACACUGCCAAGUCACUGCCUUUGGAGCCCAGGUCGUUCCCCAUUCCUCAUGCUCUACUUAAUUUUUCAUGACACCAGGGAAGGAAUAAAACUACAGGAGACAAAGGGCAAUGCUUAGUCUCAGGCAUUUAUGCCCAUAUUCAGUACUUGAGUUCCCAUGUUUUUCCUUAAGUAAAUUCACGAUAUAAUAAAAAUGGAAAAGAGUGGAGAAGAAUGGAUAACCUAAUUAUAGCACAGUGUGGAAUUUGGCAUAUUCAUAGAAUACUAGACAACAAAAAGAAACAGAUGGCUGAUACAGCAACAGGGAUGAAUGAAUCUCAGAAAGUGUACUCUGAAUGAGAAAAGGGAGAUUACCGAGAGAGGGAGAGGGACACAGAGACACAGAGAUUUAUCGGAAGGAAAGAACUAUGGGAAAAGAAGUCAGAAAUUGGUUGCUUCUAAGGGUAGUAUGUGGGACUGGAUUUGAAAAGGACAUGAGAGAAUUUUCUGGAAUGAUAUAUACAACAGUCCAUUCUCGUCAAACUGAGCACUUAUGAACUAAGUAUUUUGUUUGUAUAAAAGUAUGUCUUAAUAAAAAUGAGAACACUGUAAGAAAGAAAAAGGGAAUUAAUGCUAGGAUUGGUACCAUUAAUAAAUAUAACAUGAAUAUACAAAAUAGAAGCACAUAUAUUCAAAAUAAAUAAGCCCAGGAAAAAUGCCCUCUAGAGCCCAUUUGACAAAGGUAAAUAUGCUACCUAAGAAAGGGUUUAAAUGCAGACAAAUGAAAAUUUGUCUUUGUUUUUUUUAAAGGCAUUAUUAGAAAUGCAUCUAUUUCUUUGUCACUUUAAAUAAUUCCUGUUCAUAGCAGCCUUUUACAAUGCAAUGUGAUAGGUAGUGGUUCAGUUAGCUCCUUCACAGAGUCGUCGAGAAAGCAGGCUCACAAAGAGCAGGUGUAUUUUUCAGGAUGUGGGGGAUGGUUUUCUAGGUUUCAGGAUGACCUUUUCUCACUUUGCCACACGGGCCCACGGUGUCAGAGAUUCUUACAUUUGCCCCUUUACACAUCCAUGCCCACUAAGCACUGUUACUAGAAUACUGAAGAGGCUGAGUUCUUCUGGCACUUAACAGAGUUGUAACCUCACUGGUUGCUCUGUGAAGCGCUUACAGUAUAGCCACAGCCCUGGUGCUCUUAGAACUCUCCCAUCAGGGACAUUCUGUCCACUCACACAGCAGAACAGAGGAAUCAAAGCAAGUCUCAGGCAGAGCAGGGAGGGCUGCCACAUCACAUGGCUUCAUCAUCAAUGCAGAAGGAGUGCUUAGGAGACCAGAGCACCACGGAGGAGAAACUGCUUCAAUGGAGUGCAUGGGAAAGUACUAGCACUGUCUCAUGGAUUUUCAUGGUAUAGGCCAAUCAUCUUGCUGAGGUGAUGUAAAUGUAAAUGAGGUGAUAUGGUGUCUCUUUUGUGAGACUGAGAGAAUUAGACAACACAGGGCAAGCUCAGGUCCCACCUGCUCUCAUAAGAUUCACUGUUCUGAGGACAGGCAUUACACACCCCAGUCCCGGCCAAUAUGGCUUCCCUUUUGUUUUACGAUUUGCUCCUCUAGAUCUGAGUUGUCAAUGUAGACAAUCUAGACUACAUAAGUUCCAGUGAGUCCCAAUGAAUCCAGAUUCAUUCCUGAAUACAUAAUGAGUACAACAAGGAUUUGAACGUAUCACUGUGUUCCAACACCUGAACAAAGGAGGAAGGGAAUCCUGGGAAAGGAGGAAAGAGGCCACCAAAAAAUAUCUCUGAUGAAUGUGGUAGCACACAUUGGCAAUGCCAGUGCUCAGAAGUCUGAGACAGGGGAUCAAGAGUUCAGAGCCAGCCUAGUCACCUCUUUCUGGUGACUAUUUUGAGACUGGGAUAACAGCAUCAUAUAUGAGAAGCUGCAGUUUUUAUUUCAUGAUUUAUAGAUGUUACAAGUGAAGUUCAGAAAAAUAAAGAAACCAGCAAGCUGUGUGGCCGAACUUUGCGCUCUCUCUGGUCUGGCUCAGUCCUCCCUGGUCCGUACCCUCCUGAGUCAACUCGCUGUUUAAAUAAUGCCUUAGCAGAUGUGUUGCUCAGCCUUGCAGUGAUUACCACAUUUAUGCUUGUCUCAGAGUGAAGUGCAGAGUAUUUGUGGGAGAACAAACAUCAGUUAUUCUUGUUGACAUAAUAAUGGAGAUGUAGGACUGGAAAUCUAGCCUAAAGUUACAACUGAUGCUUGUAGUGAGCUUUUAGAUAUUUAGAUAAGAUCCUAUGAAAGCACCAAUAAAGACAGUUUCUUGUUUAUGCUGGCUGCUUUGGAGUCUAAAGAGACACAGUGAAGUUGUCAUGCCUUUUGUUACUUGUCAGGGUACCUUUCCCAGAGAAUUUUAAUCUAAAGGAAAAACGUCCCUGGUGAUUCUCGCCAACUUCAAAGACAAAAGUGUGAAUGCUACUGAAAACUGUCACUCCCUAUUCUGACUUCAAAUCUCAGCAUCUGAGAAGAAAUUAGAUUUCUAAUUUUUGAAUGGGUGAUGAGAGCCACCAGCAUGGAUGGAACAGUUUCCGCGUCAGGGACCAAUUUUCAGGGACCAAUGUUGUUUCUAGAUUAUUCUGGAAGAAAAGGCAGUAUGGAUCACAAUUGGCUAAACCAAGCUCUUUGGUAUUACCAAUUGUGCUAGAUGACUAAGAUCACCAUUGCUUCAGAGGAAAGACAUGGUUCAGUAAUGUCAGAAUGUUUGUGGAUGGUCCUUCAGAAAAUGCCACAAAGUCCUUUUCCUUCUAGAAUCUCUUAUGUCAGCUGUAAACUGAAUAAUGGAAACUAGUAAUAGAAUAAUGGAGUUAGAAUACUGAAACAAACAAACAAAGACCCCAGAAACUAUCUUUUUAGAUAAAGUUUUUAGAAUAAACGACCUAAAAUACUUAUGAUGAUAUGCUAAUAUAAAAGUAUUUCACAAAUCUUGUUUGCUAAGAAUAUUGGGCAUCAUUAGAAGCUGUUAUUAGCCAUAAGCGACCUGACCAAAAAAGACUUGGCCCAGGCCACUAGAGAUAGUACCGCUCAUAAAAGUAUUAAAAGUAUUCAGCAUAUGAGGAGUCUGCAUGCAACAAUCCAUGUCCCUAGGCUGGUCCAUCCCUUCAUGUUCCAGACAUGGAGCUUCCCCCUCUUCUAAACUGCCAAAGGGAAAAGGAUCUCCUGGAUUUGUUACAUCUCGAUUCCCUGUCUUGAUUCUUAGACAAUAAUGUUUUUUUUUAAUUUCCUAAAUCAGGCUUCUUUUUCCCAAAGUAGUAGGUCUGCAAUGUGGGGUUUGCAUAGGAUUUAAAUAAUAGAAUUUAGAUAGUAUAUCAAAAAACUAGUGACCAAGCAAGGCCAUGAAAUCUAGAAAUAGACGAGACACUUCAUGAACUCAAUGCCAUUGUGUGAAGAUAAUAAAAAAUAAUUACUCCUUAA
Long non-coding RNA from Mesocricetus auratus (golden hamster), 6473 nucleotides. RefSeq lists it as uncharacterized. NCBI's taxonomy places the organism in Eukaryota, Metazoa, Chordata, Mammalia, Rodentia, Cricetidae. The transcript has 4 exons. The record is from RefSeq and is a predicted model, not a curated record.